Molecule: long non-coding RNA, 806 nt
Filed under: Ananas comosus (pineapple)
Lineage: Eukaryota; Viridiplantae; Streptophyta; Magnoliopsida; Poales; Bromeliaceae
Description: long non-coding RNA (ACOM_LNC021244)
Source: RNAcentral
UGGGUUGCUGUGGCACGGGGGAAGGCUCGGUGGGUCGACAGUGACCGGCGGCGGCGACGUCGGCUAGGGCGGCGGCGACUGGCGGCGGCGAUGACGGGGUGCGACUAUUGGUUGGAGCGGGAUGGGCAGAGAGGGAGAGAGAGACAGAGAGAUAAGAGAGAAAGAGAGCGAAGAGUGAGGGAGAGGUGUUGGGGCUUCGGGUGUACCUAGGUAAGACGGUGAAUUGUUCACCGUCUUCAUAAAAAACAGUGGAGACGGUGAACGAUUCACCGUCUUACCUUGGCCCACCUCCUGGGGGUUACCAAUAAAGACGGUGAAUAGUUCACCGUCUUUACUGCAGCACAAAUAAGACGAUGNUGAACGAUUCACCGUCUUACCUUGGCCCACCUCCUGGGGGUUACCAAUAAAGACGGUGAAUAGUUCACCGUCUUUACUGCAGCACAAAUAAGACGAUGAACUAUUCACCGUCUUAUCUGUGUUUUAUGUCUCCAGGACUUGGCCAAAGUUGGGGGGUGUGGGGGGAUAAUGUACCGUCUUAGGUAAGACGGUGAACUGUUUACCGUCUUAUUGAAGGGGGGGUGAAUUCGCUCUAAAGACGGUGAAUAGUUCACCAUCUCAUGAAGGCGGUGAACCAUCCACCGUCUUCGUGAGAAAUGCGCAUAGACGGUGAACGAUUCACCGUCUUUACGAGAAAAAUCCGAGCUGGCGCCGACGUGGCGAAAGGAGGGUUAGUUUUACAAAUAAAAUUUUCAGAGGGUUAUUUGGCCAAAUAUAAAAUUCUAUAGGGUCAGUUUCAAAAAAAGUCC